This 557-nucleotide long non-coding RNA is filed under the name Pan troglodytes (chimpanzee). Its description in RNAcentral is "lincRNA". The record is from RNAcentral. Lineage: Eukaryota; Metazoa; Chordata; Mammalia; Primates; Hominidae.
AGGAGUUUGGGAUCCGUCUCCUUUUACUCCUCCUCCACCUUGGGAGCCCUGGGCUACUCUCUUACAGCCCCUGUUGCCCUGUGAUCUGUAGGUUAUUGGGGACGCAUAGUUAGGGCAUCAGGACAUCCUGGAAGCUGGGAAAUGGUAACUUCUUAGACCAAGUCUAGAAACAGUCUCAGGACAAUAACAAUUCCAUUCUAGAAAGAAUCUCCCAACAUUUCUUCUAUCUCAACUCAAUGCAUCUGCUGUGAACUUCCGCUUACCAAGUUUAUUCUUCUGCAGUACAAGGCUCCUUCCAUGGUUGGUGCAUCAUACUGGGGAAACAGGGAUUCAAAAGACCCAGGCUGUUCCCUACAUAUGUUUCCUCCUCGACAUCAGUUCAUCAGUCAAUCAAGUCAUGUGAGAGUGGAGGCCUGUAUUCCCUAUUAUUUUGGGCACUCUCCUCCAAGGAGGAAAGGCCAGGAGGUCCUUUAGAGGAUGCACUCUGAGAGCCGGCUCCUAAGGUUGAGAGUUCUAACCAGCAGGUGUAGACUUUUCAGGAGUGAGGAAUGAGGCAG